RNAcentral lists this ribosomal RNA (379 nucleotides) under uncultured bacterium. Its description in RNAcentral is "bacterial SSU rRNA". It matches the Rfam family "Bacterial small subunit ribosomal RNA", at positions 28 to 405 of the family's 1533-position model. The record is from RNAcentral.
GACGAACGCUGGCGGCACGCUUAACACAUGCAAGUCGAACGAGAAUUUGAGAGCUUGCUUUUAAAUUCUAGUGGCGGACGGUGAGUAACACGUGAGCAAUCUGCCUUUCAGAGGGGAUACCAGUUGGAAACGGCUGUUAAUACCGCAUAAAAUAUGAAUGUCGCAUGACAAACAUAUCAAAGAUUUAUCGCUGAAAGAUGAGCUCGCGUCUGAUUAGAUAGUUGGUGAGGUAACGGCCCACCAAGUCGACGAUCAGUAGCCGGACUGAGAGGUUGGACGGCCACAUUGGGACUGAGACACGGCCCAGACUCCUACGGGAGGCAGCAGUGGGGAAUAUUGCACAAUGGAGGAAACUACUGAUGCAGCGAUGCCGCGUCGA